GUCUAAGUAUAUGCCGUGUUAAGGCGAAACUGCAAAUGGCUCAUUAAAUCAGUUAUGGUUCCUUGGAUCGUACCUUACUACUUGGAUAACUCUGGCAAUUCUAUAGCUAAUAUAUGUAGCAGAACUUCGAUCCUCUGAGGACAAGCACUUUUAUUAGACCAAAACCAAUCAGACCUCUUGUCCAUAUUAUGUGGUGACUCUGUAUAACUUUGGGUUGAUCGCACGAGCUCGUCCCAGCAUAACAUUGGCCAUCCUGGUAAUUGCGCAUAAUAAUGCAGAG
Molecule: non-coding RNA, 280 nt
Filed under: Stegodyphus mimosarum
Lineage: Eukaryota; Metazoa; Arthropoda; Arachnida; Araneae; Eresidae
Description: eukaryotic small subunit ribosomal RNA
Rfam family: Eukaryotic small subunit ribosomal RNA
Source: Rfam by way of RNAcentral